RNAcentral lists this transfer RNA (68 nucleotides) under Chamaeleo monachus (monarch chameleon). Its description in RNAcentral is "tRNA-Arg". It matches the Rfam family "tRNA". Rfam says of the family: Transfer RNA (tRNA) molecules are approximately 80 nucleotides in length. Their secondary structure includes four short double-helical elements and three loops (D, anti-codon, and T loops). Further hydrogen bonds mediate the characteristic L-shaped molecular structure. tRNAs have two regions of fundamental functional importance: the anti-codon, which is responsible for specific mRNA codon recognition, and the 3' end, to which the tRNAs corresponding amino acid is attached (by aminoacyl-tRNA synthetases). tRNAs cope with the degeneracy of the genetic code in two manners: having more than one tRNA (with a specific anti-codon) for a particular amino acid; and 'wobble' base-pairing, i.e. permitting non-standard base-pairing at the 3rd anti-codon position. The record is from RNAcentral. Lineage: Eukaryota; Metazoa; Chordata; Lepidosauria; Squamata; Chamaeleonidae.
AAGGAAUGAGUUUUUAAAAAUAACUGAUUUCGAACCAGUCGUUUUAGGUUUUAACCCUAAAUUCCUAA